RNAcentral lists this ribosomal RNA (468 nucleotides) under uncultured bacterium. RNAcentral describes it as "partial 16S ribosomal RNA". It matches the Rfam family "Bacterial small subunit ribosomal RNA", at positions 28 to 507 of the family's 1533-position model. The record is from RNAcentral.
GACGAACGCUGGCGGCGUGCUUAACACAUGCAAGUCGAACGGAAAGGCCCUGCUUUUGUGGGGUGCUCGAGUGGCGAACGGGUGAGUAACACGUGAGUAACCUGCCCUUGACUUUGGGAUAACUUCAGGAAACUGGGGCUAAUACCGGAGAUGAGCUCCUGCUGCAUGGUGGGGGUUGGAAAGUUUCGGCGGUUGGGGAUGGACUCGCGGCUUAUCAGCUUGUUGGUUGGGUAGUGGCUUACCAAGGCUUUGACGGGUAGCCGGCCUGAGAGGGUGACCGGCCACAUUGGGACUGAGAUACGGCCCAGACUCCUACGGGAGGCAGCAGUGGAGAAUAUUGCACAAUGGGCGGAAGCCUGAUGCAGCAACGCCGCGUGCGGGAUGACGGCCUUCGGGUUGUAAACCGCUUUCGCCUGUGACGAAGCGUGAGUGACGGUAAUGGGUAAAGAAGCACCGGCUAACUACGUG